UACGAAGGGUGCAAGCGUUAAUCGGAAUUACUGGGCGUAAAGCGUGCGUAGGUGGUUUGUUAAGUCUGAUGUGAAAGCCCCGGGCUCAACCUGGGAAUGGCAUUGGAAACUGGCAGGCUAGAGUAAGGUAGAGGGUGGCGGAAUUCCCGGUGUAGCGGUGAAAUGCGUAGAGAUCGGGAGGAACAUCCGUGGCGAAGGCGGCCACCUGGACCAUUACUGACACUGAGGCACGAAAGCGUGGGGAGCAAACAGG
This 253-nucleotide unclassified non-coding RNA is filed under the name uncultured Lysobacterales bacterium. RNAcentral's name for it is "uncultured Xanthomonadales bacterium contains 16S-23S intergenic spacer region". It matches the Rfam family "Bacterial small subunit ribosomal RNA", at positions 524 to 776 of the family's 1533-position model. Lineage: Bacteria; Pseudomonadati; Pseudomonadota; Gammaproteobacteria; Lysobacterales. The record is from RNAcentral.